This 1326-nucleotide ribosomal RNA is filed under the name metagenome. RNAcentral describes it as "bacterial LSU rRNA". It matches the Rfam family "Bacterial large subunit ribosomal RNA", at positions 1561 to 2925 of the family's 2925-position model. The record is from RNAcentral.
AGUGGAUGGGGAGCAACCUAGUUGUGCGUGUGUAAAGGUAGUGCCAAGAAAAGCGGUGAUCAUGAUGAAAAUCAAUUCCCGGUACCCGAAACCGACACAGGUGGGCAAGUAGAGAAUACUAAGGGGCGCGAGGUAACUCUCUCCAAGUAACUCGGCAAAAUGACCCCGUAACUUAGGGAGAAGGGGUGCCACCGAGAGGUGGUCGCAGUGAAGAGGCCCAGGCGACUGUUUAGCAAAAACAUAGGUCUCUGCAAACUCGAAAGAGGAGGUAUAGGGGCUGACGCCUGCCCAGUGCCGGAAGGUUAAAGAAGUUGGUCAGUCUUAGGAUGAAGCUAGCGACUGAAGCCCCGGUGAACGGCGGCCGUAACUAUAACGGUCCUAAGGUAGCGAAAUUCCUUGUCGGGUAAGUUCCGACCCGCACGAAAGGCGUAACGAUCUGGGCGCUGUCUCGGAGAGAGGCUCGGCGAAAUAGGAUUGUCUGUGAAGAUACGGACUACCUGCAUUUGGACAGAAAGACCCUAUGAAGCUUUACUAUAGCUUGGAAUUGUGUUCGGGCUUCCUGUGCGCAGGAUAGGUGGGAGGCGUAGAAGGUAUUCUUGUGGGGAUACUGGAGCCAACGGUGAGAUACCACUCUCAGGAGGCUAGAAUUCUAACUUAAUUAAGGACAGUUUCAGGUGGGUAGUUUGACUGGGGCGGUCGCCUCCAAAAAGGUAACGGAGGCGUACAAAGGUUCCCUCAGACUGGUUGGAAAUCAGUCGAAGAGUGCAAAGGCAGAAGGGAGCUUGACUGCGAGAAGUACAGUUCGAGCAGGGUGGAAACACGGUCUUAGUGAUCCGACGGUGCUGUGUGGAAGGGCCGUCGUUCAACGGAUAAAAGUUACUCUAGGAUAACAGGCUGAUCUCCCCCAAGAGUUCACAUCGACGGGGAGGUUUGGCACCUCGAUGUCGGCUCAUCGCAACCUGGGGCGGAAGUACGUCCCAAGGGUUGGGCUGUUCGCCCAUUAAAGCGGUACGUGAGCUGGGUUCAGAACGUCGUGAGACAGUUCGGUCCAUAUCCGAUGUAGGCGUGAGAAUAUUGAGAGGAGCCUUCCUUAGUACGAGAGGACCGGGAAGGACGCACCGCUGGUGUACCUGUUAUGAUGCCAAUUGUAAACGCAGGGUAGCCAAGUGCGGAGAGGAUAACCGCUGAAAGCAUCUAAGUGGGAAGCCCACCUCAAGAUGAGUAUUCUGGUGUAAGGUCACGGGAAGACGACCCGUAAAUAGGCACGAGGUGGAAGUGCAGAGAUGUAUGAAGCCGAAGUGUACUAAUAGACCGUCGGCUUGACCA